RNAcentral lists this long non-coding RNA (449 nucleotides) under Citrus x clementina. RNAcentral's name for it is "Citrus clementina (C. clementina) long non-coding RNA (CCLE_LNC001031)". Lineage: Eukaryota; Viridiplantae; Streptophyta; Magnoliopsida; Sapindales; Rutaceae. The record is from RNAcentral.
UACCUGCAUGCAUUUCAAAUAAAGUAAACUCAUAACCACUUGAAUUUUAAGUGUUUGUGGAAUAAUUAAUUCUGUCGUCAUACAAGCUCUUCAAACUAGAUAAUAUAGGACUAACAUUUAGUGCUUCUUUGGGAUUGUGGAAUAGAUUCUCAAAAAAUCAUUCAUUUGAUAAUCUACUCCCAUGGAUUAAGUCCAAGAGAACAAUGCAAAUUAAAUAUGUUUGAUAUACUGUACAUCCUCGAUUAAGUGAUAUUAUUUGACAUCCUCGAUUAAGUGAUAUUAUUUGAUAAUCCACUGCAAUCUCAUAUGUGCACUUAAUUAAUUUCAUAUUCAAAUUUAAUAACUAUGAGUCACAUAGUUGUAUUAUCCAGAAAGGCUCGUAUCAGGAGAGAAUUUUGGCAGUUAUGGAUGAUGGAAAACAAACACAAUACGAGCAUAGGCGUGGUUAA